Molecule: transfer RNA, 92 nt
Filed under: Candidatus Tayloriibacteriota bacterium
Lineage: Bacteria; Candidatus Tayloriibacteriota
Description: tRNA-Ser
Rfam family: tRNA
About the family: Transfer RNA (tRNA) molecules are approximately 80 nucleotides in length. Their secondary structure includes four short double-helical elements and three loops (D, anti-codon, and T loops). Further hydrogen bonds mediate the characteristic L-shaped molecular structure. tRNAs have two regions of fundamental functional importance: the anti-codon, which is responsible for specific mRNA codon recognition, and the 3' end, to which the tRNAs corresponding amino acid is attached (by aminoacyl-tRNA synthetases). tRNAs cope with the degeneracy of the genetic code in two manners: having more than one tRNA (with a specific anti-codon) for a particular amino acid; and 'wobble' base-pairing, i.e. permitting non-standard base-pairing at the 3rd anti-codon position.
Source: RNAcentral
GGAGACGUGGCUGAGUGGUCGAAAGCGGCACCUUGCUAAGGUGUUAACCGGGUAAAACUGGUUCGAGAGUUCGAAUCUCUCCGUCUCCGCCA